RNAcentral lists this ribosomal RNA (1088 nucleotides) under Klebsiella pneumoniae. Its description in RNAcentral is "bacterial SSU rRNA". It matches the Rfam family "Bacterial small subunit ribosomal RNA", at positions 1 to 1080 of the family's 1533-position model. Lineage: Bacteria; Pseudomonadati; Pseudomonadota; Gammaproteobacteria; Enterobacterales; Enterobacteriaceae. The record is from RNAcentral.
AAAUUGAAGAGUUUGAUCAUGGCUCAGAUUGAACGCUGGCGGCAGGCCUAACACAUGCAAGUCGAGCGGUAGCACAGAGAGCUUGCUCUCGGGUGACGAGCGGCGGACGGGUGAGUAAUGUCUGGGAAACUGCCUGAUGGAGGGGGAUAACUACUGGAAACGGUAGCUAAUACCGCAUAACGUCGCAAGACCAAAGUGGGGGACCUUCGGGCCUCAUGCCAUCAGAUGUGCCCAGAUGGGAUUAGCUAGUAGGUGGGGUAACGGCUCACCUAGGCGACGAUCCCUAGCUGGUCUGAGAGGAUGACCAGCCACACUGGAACUGAGACACGGUCCAGACUCCUACGGGAGGCAGCAGUGGGGAAUAUUGCACAAUGGGCGCAAGCCUGAUGCAGCCAUGCCGCGUGUGUGAAGAAGGCCUUCGGGUUGUAAAGCACUUUCAGCGGGGAGGAAGGCGUUAAGGUUAAUAACCUUGGCGAUUGACGUUACCCGCAGAAGAAGCACCGGCUAACUCCGUGCCAGCAGCCGCGGUAAUACGGAGGGUGCAAGCGUUAAUCGGAAUUACUGGGCGUAAAGCGCACGCAGGCGGUCUGUCAAGUCGGAUGUGAAAUCCCCGGGCUCAACCUGGGAACUGCAUUCGAAACUGGCAGGCUAGAGUCUUGUAGAGGGGGGUAGAAUUCCAGGUGUAGCGGUGAAAUGCGUAGAGAUCUGGAGGAAUACCGGUGGCGAAGGCGGCCCCCUGGACAAAGACUGACGCUCAGGUGCGAAAGCGUGGGGAGCAAACAGGAUUAGAUACCCUGGUAGUCCACGCCGUAAACGAUGUCGAUUUGGAGGUUGUGCCCUUGAGGCGUGGCUUCCGGAGCUAACGCGUUAAAUCGACCGCCUGGGGAGUACGGCCGCAAGGUUAAAACUCAAAUGAAUUGACGGGGGCCCGCACAAGCGGUGGAGCAUGUGGUUUAAUUCGAUGCAACGCGAAGAACCUUACCUGGUCUUGACAUCCACAGAACUUAGCAGAGAUGCUUUGGUGCCUUCGGGAACUGUGAGACAGGUGCUGCAUGGCUGUCGUCAGCUCGUGUUGUGAAAUGUUGGGU